Molecule: long non-coding RNA, 1328 nt
Filed under: Malus domestica (apple)
Lineage: Eukaryota; Viridiplantae; Streptophyta; Magnoliopsida; Rosales; Rosaceae
Description: long non-coding RNA (MDOM_LNC014744)
Source: RNAcentral
UAAUUGAUGGACGUAAAUUGAAUAAUUGAACCUAAGUUGGUUACGAUUCGUGGUUAGGUGAAAAUGUGAAUUGACGAUCCGACCGUUGGAUCGUCAUCAAACUUUGAUACGUUGUAAUACGUAAUAUUUGAGGAUUAUAGGAACUUACGGAUUGGGAAUCCGAUUUACGGAUCUUCCGGAAUUGAAGUUGUAAGUUCAUAAAAUAGAAUGUUAACCGUCACUUAGUUUUGGAAAUUGACGGAGAUCCGACCGUUGGAUGGUAAUGAAAUUUUAGGAUGUUGUCCUAGAGGUAUAUUGUGGACCUCUGGAAGUUAUGGAUUUGAAAUCUGAAUUGCAGAUCAUCCGGAUCGAACUACGUAGUGACGUGUCUUAUAUAAGUUAUGUAUUCUAUCGGCAGAAUUUCUGAGGUUGGAUUUGAUUGUUGUUCUAGGCGCUAAUCGUCAUGACGCCUUGAUGUACGGUGCUAGGGAGUUGUGGGCGAACUCCAGGUGAGUGGGCAGUUUUGUUUUUGUAUUACCUUUAUACUAUUGAUUUUUCCCAGAAAAUGAAUUUAUAUGAAGAUAUGCUUUAAAAAUGCCAUGCAUAGAAUUAUUUGGAAAAUGUGAAUUUCAUAUGAGUUAUAUGAUUGAUAUAUGAUGCAUACAUGUUACAUGGUGCUGUGGAGGCACAGGUAAGUCAGGUGAGUUCAUUUAUUCAUUGAAUUGUUGUUGUUGAGAUGUUUUGAGCUCAUAACCUGCACCCUAGGUGUUAGUGCUUAUAUUAUUCACCACACCGCACGCUCGCCUUGGAUCCAAGUAGGUGGAUGUCGUACAGACCAUGUGAGGGUUCCGACAUGCCAGUCGUACAGACCAUUAGAGGGGUUCCGACUGGUGGGUGACCUUAGAUAUGCGCGCUGAUGAUAUGAUGAGAGAAGCACUAGAGCGUAUUUUACACCUUUCAUCGUAUAGACUACCUUACGUAGUUCCGAGUGAUGUGCAGAGUAAGGCCGUAUAGGUCACUGUGGUGACUCCGGCUUAGUGAGAUAUUGAGCUAUUGAAUUAAUCGUAUAGGACCAACUGCAGGGUCUCCGAUUGAUUCCUUAUUUCACCUGAUUUAUAUUUUGAUUUAUGGCAUGGCAUGUUUUUCUCGAAAAAUGUUAAAGAUUUGGGAUUCAAGCUUUGAGAUUUCAUAUGGUUAUAUAUUUCUGAAAAGUGUUAAAGGUUUGAGAUUUGAGAUUUUUGCUUAUAUAUAUGUUUAUAUAUAUGCUAUUUUCUGGGAAAGUAUACAGGUUUUACGGUGAGGGGUUAGAAAUGUUUUAAAUGAAAAGUUUUCGAAAAACUUUGUUUUAC